CGGGGUUCACAGGUUUGGAUCCUGGGCACGGACCGAUGCACCGCUUAUCAAGUCAUGCUACGGCAGCAUCCCACAGAAAACAGAGGAAGACUGGCAAGAGAUG
Non-coding RNA from Ceratotherium simum simum (southern white rhinoceros), 103 nucleotides. The record is from RefSeq and is a predicted model, not a curated record. NCBI's taxonomy places the organism in Eukaryota, Metazoa, Chordata, Mammalia, Perissodactyla, Rhinocerotidae.